This 468-nucleotide ribosomal RNA is filed under the name uncultured bacterium. RNAcentral describes it as "partial 16S ribosomal RNA". It matches the Rfam family "Bacterial small subunit ribosomal RNA", at positions 28 to 507 of the family's 1533-position model. The record is from RNAcentral.
GACGAACGCUGGCGGCGUGCUUAACACAUGCGAGUCGAACGGAAAGGCCCUGCUUUUGUGGGGUGCUCGAGUGGCGAACGGGUGAGUAACACGUGAGUAACCUGCCCUUGACUUUGGGAUAACUUCAGGAAACUGGGGCUAAUACCGGAUAGGAGCUCCUGCUGCAUGGUGGGGGUUGGAAAGUUUCGGCGGUUGGGGAUGGACUCGCGGCUUAUCAGCUUGUUGGUGGGGUAGUGGCUUACCAAGGCUUUGACGGGUAGCCGGCCUGAGAGGGUGACCGGCCACAUUGGGACUGAGAUACGGCCCAGACUCCUACGGGAGGCAGCAGUGGGGAAUAUUGCACAAUGGGCGGAAGCCUGAUGCAGCAACGCCGCGUGCGGGAUGACGGCCUUCGGGUUGUAAACCGCUUUCGCCUGUGACGAAGCGUGAGUGUCGGUAAUGGGUAAAGAAGCACCGGCUAACUACGUG